AUUUAUUAAAUUAUUAAAUUUAUUUUUUUUUAUAUAUUUUAAUUAAAAUAUUAAAAUUUUUAUUAUUUAAAGGAAAAAUUUGUAUUUAUUAUAGAUUAUUAGUACUGAGAAGGAAAUUUUUAAAAUAUUUAAAAGAAAAAUUUUUUUGUACCUUGUGUAUCAGGGUUUAUUAAUUAAUUUGUAAAAAUUUAUUUAUCUCGAAUUCAAAAGAGCUAAAUUAUUAUAAAUUUUAUUGUAAAAUAAAUAUUUAUAAUAAUAAUUUAGUAAUGAAACGUUAAUCGUUUUUGAAUAUAUCUAGUUUUUUAAGAAAAAAAUUUAAUUUUAAUAUUAAAUUUCAAUAUUUUUUUUAUAAAUAUUUUGAAUUUAAUUUUAAAUGAGUUAAGGGAUAAGCUUUAAUUUAAAUUAUUAUAAUUUAUAUAAUUUUAAUAUUUUAUAGGAUUGAAAAUUUCUAUUAAUAAAAGUUUAUUAAAAUUUAUUAUUUUUUUAUUAAUAUUUAUAUAAAAUUUAAUUUUUUUAUUAAAAUAAAAAAUUUAAUAAUUAAUUUUUUGAAAUAAUGAUAAAAUUAGUAUUGUAUGUAUAUAAAUGUAUAAAUUUAUAUAUUGAUAGGUUAAAUAUAGUAAUUCGGCAAAUUUAUUUUUCACCUGUUUAUUAAAAACAUCUCUUUUUGAAAAUAAUUUAAAGUAGGGCCUGCCCACUGAAAAUUUGAAGGGCCGCAGUAUUUUGACUGUGCAAAGGUAGCAUAAUCAUUAGUUUUUUAAUUGAAAGCUUGUAUGAAUGGUUUGAUGAAUUUAAUUUUUUAAAAAUUUUAUUUUUAAGUUAAAAAGCUUAAAUAAUUUUAAAAGACGAGAAGACCCUAUAGAGUUUUAUUAUUUAAAUUUUUUAAAUUUUUAGAAUUUAAUUAUUUUAAUAUUUUAAAUAAUUUGAUUGGGGUGAUUAAAAAAUUAAAUAAACUUUUUUUAUAUUAUAACAUAGAUUAAUGAAUAUUUGAUCCAUAAUAAUGAUUAAAAGAAUAAAUUACCUUAGGGAUAACAGCGUUAUUUUUUUUUAGAGUUCAAAUCGAAAAAAGAGAUUGCGACCUCGAUGUUNNNNNNNGAAGCUUAAAUAUUUGGUCUGUUCGACCAUUAAAACUUUACAUGAUCUGAGUUUAAACCGGUGUAAGCCAGGUUGGUUUCUAUCUUUAAAAUAAUAAUAGUUUUUAGUACGAAAGGACCAAAAUUAUAAUUAAUAAUUUAAUUUAAUGAAUAAAAAU
RNAcentral lists this ribosomal RNA (1249 nucleotides) under Aiolocaria hexaspilota. RNAcentral describes it as "16S ribosomal RNA". Lineage: Eukaryota; Metazoa; Arthropoda; Insecta; Coleoptera; Coccinellidae. The record is from RNAcentral.